CUCCCGCCCCGGCGCACCCUGCUCCCCGGCGCGUACCCAGGGGCCACGAUUUUGGCUGGGCGAAAGCGGCCCGCUCCCGCCUCUCCUUGAGUGCGCUGAUUACAUCUACCGGAGACACCUUCCCUUCCCUUGGGGAUCCCAACUCUCAGCUCUUCAGAAAGCAAUGACAAGGCAUCUGACUCAUCCUCCUGCACCUCUUUUCAAUUACUGACUUAAACCAGAUUACAGUUGCUGUCAGGCUUGAAGACUGAGACUUACUGAUACGUGUAUCCUAGAAGUACCUGACACAGUAACACACUGCCUUACCUUGGUCUUGCUCUGCUGCCCAGGCUGGAGUACAGUGGUGCAAUCUAGUUCACUGCAGCCUCAAACUCCCGGGAUUAAGCAAUCCUUCCACUUUAGCUUCCCAAGUAGCUAAAGUUCCAAGUAGGGACUACAGGCAUGCACCACCAGUUCAGGAAAGAUUAAUAAACUUUUGUAUUCUGAGUUUGGAAAUUCUUGCCCAAGAAUAGUUACAGAAUUUUUUUUCAGAACAAAGAGAAAUAAACAUCAAGAGAGGAAAAAGGAGGAAAAGGGGACAUUGCCAAGCUCCUGGAAUAAUGCUCCCACCUGGCAUAAUGACUAAAGUCAAACACACCUGAGUUUAAAUGCUGAGUCUGCCUGAUAUGGUUUGGCUGUGUCCCCACCCAAAUCACAUCUUGAAUUGUAACUCCCACAAUUCUCACAUGUUGUGGAAGGAACCUGGUGGGAGACGAUUGAAUUAUGGGGGCAGGUCUUUUCUGCACUCUUCUCGUGAUAGUGAAUGAAUCUCACAAGAUCUGAUGGUUUUAAAAAAACGGGAGUUUCCCUGCACAAGCUCUCUCUUUGCCUUCCGCCAUCCAUGUAAGACUUGACUUGCUCCUCCUUGCCUCCACCAUGAUUGUGAGGCCUCCCCAGCCCUGUGGAACUGUAAGUCCAUUAAACCUCUUUUUCUUCCCAGUCUCAGGUAUGUCUUUAUCAGCAACGUGAAAACGGGCUAAUACACUUCCUCUUACCAUUAUGUACUUUGAGUAUAUUUUAAAAAUUUCUCAGGCCCAGCAGAGUGGCUCAGCCCUACAAUCCCAGUACUUUGGGAGGCUGAGGCAUAGCUGAAGCCUGGGAAUUUGAGACUAGCCUGGGCAACAAAGUGAGACCCUGGUGUGCACCUGUAGUCCCAACCACUUGGGAGGCAGAGGCAGGAGGAUCGUUUGAACCCAGGAGUUGGAAGCUGCAGCGAGCUGGGAAUACACCACUGCACUCCAGCCUGGGUGACAGGGCAAGACCCCACUUCUAAAAAAAAAACUUAUCUGUCUUCUCUGCAAAUCAGUUACGUAAUCUGUGAAAUUUGGCUGUCAAUUCUGUUAAAUACAAAAAUACUUUUUUUGUUUCAAAGUAGGUACAUGGAUAAUAUUUUGUAAACUUGAAAAUAUUUGAAAUUGAAUUUCUAUUGACUUCAUACAAGGUAGACAAUUUUUAGGGUAUAAUAGGCUUGGAACAUAGCUCUUAUUGAUUUUUUUCCUCAAAAUCAUUUUGUUUUAGUUUGUUUUAUUAUUUAUUUUUUUCCUGAACUCUUUUAAGAUUUUUUUCAUCCUGGAGUAGAAAAAUUUUGCCAGUAUAUCUCUACAUGUAUUUAUUUUGUAUUUAUUUUGCUUGGAAGAGAGGCAGCUUCAUCGAACUUUAUCUAUUGUAACUUUUGCAGCUGUGUUCUUUAUCCCUUUUUAAAUUUACUUUUUACCUAUGUAAAAGUAGUGUGUAAAUAUCAAAUACACUGAUUUACAAAAAUAUAUCAGUGUAUUGUCUCUGCUCCCAAAUCCCAAUUCUCUUUUACCUUAGAAACAACUACAUUCAACUCCUUUAACUAUUUCUUCUGCUAUUUGCCACCAUAUUACUAAAUAAUGUGUUGUAAAUAAGUUGUUAUUUUCUAAAUUUGAACAAUUACUUAUUGACUUUGGACUAUAGAAAAUAUCUAGGUCUCUUACAACUCCUCCCCCACCC
RNAcentral lists this long non-coding RNA (2013 nucleotides) under Homo sapiens (human). RNAcentral describes it as "HSALNT0393652". Lineage: Eukaryota; Metazoa; Chordata; Mammalia; Primates; Hominidae. The record is from RNAcentral.